This 773-nucleotide ribosomal RNA is filed under the name uncultured bacterium. Its description in RNAcentral is "bacterial SSU rRNA". It matches the Rfam family "Bacterial small subunit ribosomal RNA", at positions 8 to 798 of the family's 1533-position model. The record is from RNAcentral.
AGAGUUUGAUCCUGGCUCAGGACGAACGCUGGCGGCGUGCUUAACACAUGCAAGUCGAACGGAAAGGCCCUUCGGGGUACUCGAGUGGCGAACGGGUGAGUAACACGUGGGUGAUCUGCCCUGCACUUUGGGAUAAGCCUGGGAAACUGGGUCUAAUACCGAAUAUGACCAUGCGCCUCCUGGUGUGUGGUGGAAAGCUUUUGCGGUGUGGGAUGGGCCCGCGGCCUAUCAGCUUGUUGGUGGGGUAAUGGCCUACCAAGGCGACGACGGGUAGCCGGCCUGAGAGGGUGACCGGCCACACUGGGACUGAGAUACGGCCCAGACUCCUACGGGAGGCAGCAGUGGGGAAUAUUGCACAAUGGGCGCAAGCCUGAUGCAGCGACGCCGCGUGAGGGAUGACGGCCUUCGGGUUGUAAACCUCUUUCAGCACAGACGAAGCGCAAGUGACGGUAUGUGCAGAAGAAGGACCGGCCAACUACGUGCCAGCAGCCGCGGUAAUACGUAGGGUCCGAGCGUUGUCCGGAAUUACUGGGCGUAAAGAGCUCGUAGGUGGUUUGUCGCGUUGUUCGUGAAAACUCACAGCUUAACUGUGGGCGUGCGGGCGAUACGGGCAGACUUGAGUACUGCAGGGGAGACUGGAAUUCCCGGUGUAGCGGUGGAAUGCGCAGAUAUCAGGAGGAACACCGGUGGCGAAGGCGGGUCUCUGGGCAGUAACUGACGCUGAGGAGCGAAAGCGUGGGGAGCGAACAGGAUUAGAUACCCUGGUAGUCCAA